CUCCUACGGGAGGCAGCAGUGGGGAAUAUUGGACAAUGGGGGCAACCCUGAUCCAGCCAUGCCGCGUGGGUGAAGAAGGCCUUCGGGUUGUAAAGCCCUUUUGUACGGGACGAAAAGCGUACGGUGAACAUCCGUGCGUGCUGACGGUACCGUAAGAAUAAGCACCGGCUAACUUCGUGCCAGCAGCCGCGGUAAUACGAAGGGUGCAAGCGUUACUCGGAAUUACUGGGCGUAAAGCGUGCGUAGGUGGCGAGUUAAGUCUGAUGUGAAAUCCCCGGGCUCAACCUGGGAAUGGCAUUGGAUACUGGCUUGCUGGAGUGCGGUAGAGGGUGGUGGAAUUCCCGGUGUAGCAGUGAAAUGCGUAGAGAUCGGGAGGAACAUCCGUGGCAAAGGCGGCCACCUGGACCAGCACUGACACUGAGGCACGAAAGCGUGGGGAGCAAACAGGAUUAGAUACCCUGGUAGUCCACGCCCUAAACGAUGCGAACUGGACGUUGGUGGGAACUUGCCCAUCAGUGUCGAAGCUAACGCGUUAA
This 536-nucleotide ribosomal RNA is filed under the name uncultured bacterium. RNAcentral describes it as "bacterial SSU rRNA". It matches the Rfam family "Bacterial small subunit ribosomal RNA", at positions 336 to 863 of the family's 1533-position model. The record is from RNAcentral.